GAGUUUGAUCCUGGCUCAGAACGAACGCUGGCGGCAUGCCUAACACAUGCAAGUCGAACGGGAUCCGGACUUCGGUUCGGUGAGAGUGGCGGACGGGUGAGUAACGCGUGGGAACCUGCCCAGUGGUGGGGGAUAACUGCGGGAAACUGCAGCUAAUACCGCAUGAGCCCGAGAGGGGAAAGAUUUAUCGCCAUUGGAGGGGCCCGCGUUCGAUUAGGUAGUUGGUGAGGUAAUGGCUCACCAAGCCGACGAUCGAUAGCUGGUCUGAGAGGAUGAUCAGCCACACUGGGACUGAGAUACGGCCCAGACUCCUACGGGAGGCAGCAGUGGGGAAUAUUGGACAAUGGGGGCAACCCUGAUCCAGCAAUGCCGCGUGAGUGAUGAAGGCCUUCGGGUUGUAAGAC
Molecule: ribosomal RNA, 404 nt
Filed under: uncultured Alphaproteobacteria bacterium
Lineage: Bacteria; Pseudomonadati; Pseudomonadota; Alphaproteobacteria
Description: bacterial SSU rRNA
Rfam family: Bacterial small subunit ribosomal RNA
Source: RNAcentral